UACAGAGGGGGCAAGCGUUGUUCGGAAUUACUGGGCGUAAAGGGCGCGUAGGCGGCCUUCUAAGUCGAACGUGAAAUCCCUGGGCUCAACCCAGGAACUGCGUCCGAUACUGGGAGGCUUGAAUCCGGGAGAGGGAUGCGGAAUUCCAGGUGUAGCGGUGAAAUGCGUAGAUAUCAGGAAGAACACCCGUGGCGAAGGCGGCUCUCUGGGACGGUACUGACGCUGAGACGCGAAAGCGUGGGGAGCGAACAGG
Molecule: ribosomal RNA, 253 nt
Filed under: uncultured bacterium
Lineage: Bacteria
Description: partial 16S ribosomal RNA
Rfam family: Bacterial small subunit ribosomal RNA
Source: RNAcentral